Molecule: ribosomal RNA, 503 nt
Filed under: uncultured Sphingobacteriales bacterium
Lineage: Bacteria; Pseudomonadati; Bacteroidota; Sphingobacteriia; Sphingobacteriales
Description: bacterial SSU rRNA
Rfam family: Bacterial small subunit ribosomal RNA
Source: RNAcentral
CGCCUUGCCAGCCCGCUCAGAACUCAAAGGAAUUGAGGGGGCCCGCACAAGCGGAGGAGCAUGUGGUUUAAUUCGAUGAUACGCGAGGAACCUUACCUGGGCUCGAACGUAAGAUGACUGUAGGUGAAAGCUUACAUCUCUUCGGAGCAUUUUACGAGGUGCUGCGUGGUUGUCGUCAGCUCGUGCCGUGAGGUGUCGGGUUAAGUCCCAUAACGAGCGCAACCCCUACCUUUAGUUGCCAUCAGGUUAAGCUGGGGACUCUAAAGGAACUGCCUACGCAAGUAGUGAGGAAGGCGGGGAUGACGUCAAAUCAGCACGGCCCUUACGUCCAGGGCUACACGCGUGCUACAAUGGCCGAUACAGAGGGCAGCUACCUGGUGACAGGAUGCAAAUCUCCAAAGUCGGUCUCAGUUCGGAUCGGAGUCUGCAACCCGACUCCGUGAAGUUGGAUUCGCUAGUAAUCGCGCAUCAGCCAUGGCGCGGUGAAUACGUUCCCGGGCCUU